Molecule: long non-coding RNA, 426 nt
Organism: Camelina sativa (false flax)
Lineage: Eukaryota; Viridiplantae; Streptophyta; Magnoliopsida; Brassicales; Brassicaceae
Source: RefSeq, a predicted model, not a curated record
CACUCUUUUCUCUCUCGACGGAGUGAUAGUAAUCCAAUAUUUGUGUAGAUCGAUCUGACGAUUCGGGAACAAAAUGGCAUUAUCACUUAUGAUAUUGGAGAAGCAGCUUUCUUGAUAUAUUGCUCUUUUUCAUCGCAUUUGAGCCUUGAAGACCAGAAAAAGGAUCUUAUCACAUUGCUGCUUUGCCCUGCUUAUCUGAGUCUGUGGACAAGAGAUUUUCCGGAGGGUCCUUUUUGUGCUUAUUAUUCUCCAUGGCAAGUAAUGAGAAUCUACCACCCAAUGUUAUCAAGCAGCUUGCCAAGGAGCCGAAGAGUGUGGACGAAUCCCCUCAUGAUGGCAUCAAGGUUGUGGUUAAUGAAGAGGAUUUCUCACAAAUAUAGGCUGAUAUUGAAGGUUCUGAAUCAUGUAAAAUUUUUUUGUUAAUUU